RNAcentral lists this long non-coding RNA (388 nucleotides) under Homo sapiens (human). RNAcentral's name for it is "HSALNT0105251". Lineage: Eukaryota; Metazoa; Chordata; Mammalia; Primates; Hominidae. The record is from RNAcentral.
CAAAUGUAGCAUCGGGGACUUUGAUCUGCCUGAGUCAAUCUAGGGGGAUGCAGUAGGUUGUUGUUGAAGGACCCUCAAGCUCCCUGGCACUGGGAGGAAGGGCCGGCGUUUCUAAGCAUCAGGAGGCCAAGUUCUCAAUUCCACAUUCUCUGUCUCCAGUGGUGCAGCUGUGGCUCUGAAAAUGCUGUUCUGAUUUGAAACAUAGGGAGUUUGUUUGGAACACAUCUUAAGUGGAAUUAGCCCUCUUAGUCUACAUUUAGAUUUGUUUUAUGAAGCUCUAAUAUGGCGAGCAGCCCCAUCCAUUUAUGAAUCAUGAAAGCAGCAUUAUCAAGGAGCUGGGAUGCUGCUUCUGGUGACAGUCUGGAGAAGAUAUGGGGCAGUAAAUUUU